Molecule: unclassified non-coding RNA, 302 nt
Filed under: Typhula sp.
Lineage: Eukaryota; Fungi; Basidiomycota; Agaricomycetes; Agaricales; Typhulaceae
Description: partial contains 5.8S ribosomal RNA, internal transcribed spacer 2, and large subunit ribosomal RNA
Source: RNAcentral
AACGCACAUUGCACCUUUUGGUAUUCCGAAAGGUAUGCUUGUUCGAGCGUCGUUUAUACCAUAUCAAUUUGAUUAUUGAAUGUAUUGAAGGUCUUGUCCUUUUGGUUUCAUCCUAGGACACCUUCCAAAAUGAUUGAGCGAUCUUGAUUAGACUUGUUUAACGCAUUAAAAUAACUAUCGUUAGAAGAGGAAAUCAUGGAUUUGCCAUAUAAACCCCCGAAUCUGAAAUCCUUUUUUUUCAUUUUCAACCCAUUAUAAAAUAGAUCGACCUCGAAUCAAGUAGGAUUACCCGCUGAACUUAA